GACGAACGCUGGCGGCGUGCUUAACACAUGCAAGUCGAACGGAAAGGCCCUGCUUUUGUGGGGUGCUUGAGUGGCGAACGGGUGAGUAUCACGUGAGUAACCUGCCCUUGACUUUGGGAUAACUUCAGGAAACUGGGGCUAAUACCGGAUAGGAGCUCCUGCUGCAUGGUGGGGGUUGGAAAGUUUCGGCGGUUGGGGAUGGACUCGCGGCUUACCAGCUUGUUGGUGGGGUAGUGGCUUACCAAGGCUUUGACGGGUAGCCGGCCUGAGAGGGUGACCGGCCACAAUGGGACUAAGAGACGGCCCAGACUCCUACGGGAGGCAGCAGUGGGAAGUAUUGCACAGUGGGCGGAAGCCUGAUGCAGCAACGCCGCGUGCGGGAAGACGGCCUUCGGGUUGUGAACCGCUGUCGCCUGAGACGAAGCGUGAGUGACGGUAAUGAGUAAAGAAGCACCGGCUAACUACGUG
RNAcentral lists this ribosomal RNA (468 nucleotides) under uncultured bacterium. RNAcentral's name for it is "partial 16S ribosomal RNA". It matches the Rfam family "Bacterial small subunit ribosomal RNA", at positions 28 to 507 of the family's 1533-position model. The record is from RNAcentral.